UACAGAGGUGGCAAGCGUUGUUCGGAAUUACUGGGCGUAAAGGGCGCGUAGGCGGCUUGGUCAGUCCCGUGUGAAAUCCCUCGGCUCAACUGAGGAACUGCACGGGAAACUGCCUGGCUUGAGUUCGGGAGAGGGAAGCGGAAUUUCAGGUGUAGCGGUGAAAUGCGUAGAUAUCUGAAGGAACAUCAGUGGCGAAAGCGACUUCCUGGACCAAUACUGACGCUCAUGUGCGAAAGCGUGGGGAGCAAACAGG
This 253-nucleotide ribosomal RNA is filed under the name uncultured bacterium. Its description in RNAcentral is "partial 16S ribosomal RNA". It matches the Rfam family "Bacterial small subunit ribosomal RNA", at positions 524 to 776 of the family's 1533-position model. The record is from RNAcentral.